CGGGACGGGUGAGGAAUACAUCGGAAUCUACUCUGUCGUGGGGGAGUAACGUAGGGAAACUUACGCUAAUACCGCAUACGACCUACGGGUGAAAGCAGGGGAUCUUCGGACCUUGCGCGAUUGAAUGAGCCGAUGUCGGAUUAGCUAGUUGGCGGGGUAAAGGCCCACCAAGGCGACGAUCCGUAGCUGGUCUGAGAGGAUGAUCAGCCACACUGGAACUGAGACACGGUCCAGACUCCUACGGGAGGCAGCAGCU
RNAcentral lists this ribosomal RNA (256 nucleotides) under uncultured Stenotrophomonas sp. RNAcentral's name for it is "partial 16S ribosomal RNA". It matches the Rfam family "Bacterial small subunit ribosomal RNA", at positions 98 to 355 of the family's 1533-position model. The record is from RNAcentral. Lineage: Bacteria; Pseudomonadati; Pseudomonadota; Gammaproteobacteria; Lysobacterales; Lysobacteraceae.